This 79-nucleotide transfer RNA is filed under the name Candidatus Bathyarchaeota archaeon RBG_13_60_20. RNAcentral's name for it is "tRNA-Asp". The record is from RNAcentral. Lineage: Archaea; Thermoproteati; Candidatus Bathyarchaeota. RNAcentral also lists the same sequence under 1 other name.
GCCCUGGUAGUAUAGUCCGGUCUAGUAUGCUCGGCUGUCACCCGAGCGAUCCCGGGUCCGAAUCCCGGCCAGGGCGCCA